This 301-nucleotide ribosomal RNA is filed under the name uncultured bacterium. Its description in RNAcentral is "partial 16S ribosomal RNA". It matches the Rfam family "Bacterial small subunit ribosomal RNA", at positions 509 to 807 of the family's 1533-position model. The record is from RNAcentral.
CAGCAGCCGCGGGAAAACGAUGGGGGCAAGCGUUGUUCGGAAUUAUUGGGCGUAAAGGGUGCGUAGGCGGUUUGAUAAGUCUGGUGUGAAAUCUAUGGGCUCAACCCAUAGUCUGCACUAGAAACUGUCGGGCUUGAGUAUGGGAGAGGUGAGUGGAAUUUCCGGUGUAGCGGCGAAAUGCGUAGAUAUCGGAAGGAACACCUGUGGCGAAAGCGGCUCACUGGACCAUUACUGACGCUGAUGCACGAAAGCUAGGGGAGCAAACAGGAUUAGAUACCCGCGUAGUCCCUGUCUCUUAUAC